RNAcentral lists this ribosomal RNA (440 nucleotides) under uncultured bacterium. RNAcentral's name for it is "partial 16S ribosomal RNA". It matches the Rfam family "Bacterial small subunit ribosomal RNA", at positions 338 to 795 of the family's 1533-position model. The record is from RNAcentral.
CCUACGGGUGGCUGCAGUGGGGGAUAUUGCACAAUGGGCGAAAGCCUGAUGCAGCGACGCCGCGUGAGGGAAGACGGUCUUCGGAUUGUAAAACUCUGUCUUUGGGGAAGAAAUCAGGCGGUACCCAAAGAAGCAGCUCCGGCUAACGACGUGCCAGCAGCCGCGGUACUACGUAGGGAGCGCGCGUUGUCCGGAUUUACUAGGUGUAAAGGGAGCGUAGGCGAGCUUGUAAGUUGAAGGUCUAAUCAACCGGCUAAACCGGUGAUCGCGUUCAAAACUGCAGGUCUUGAGUGAAGUAGAGGCAGGCGGAAUGCCUAGUGUAGCGGUGAAAUGCGUAGAUAUUAGGAGGAACACCAGUGGCGAAGGCGGCCUGCUGGGCUUUAACUGACGCUGAGGCUCGAAAGCGUGGGGAGCAAACAGGAUUAGAUACCCCAGUAGUC